This 305-nucleotide ribosomal RNA is filed under the name uncultured bacterium. RNAcentral's name for it is "bacterial SSU rRNA". It matches the Rfam family "Bacterial small subunit ribosomal RNA", at positions 495 to 797 of the family's 1533-position model. The record is from RNAcentral.
UUUAUCCUACGGGGGGCAGCAGCCGCGGUAAUACGGAAGGUCCGGGCGUUAUCCGGAUUUAUUGGGUUUAAAGGGAGCGUAGGCCGGUCUUUAAGCGUGCCGUGAAAUUUUGUGGCUCAACCAUGAGAGUGCGGCGCGAACUGGAGACCUUGAGUGCGCGGAAGGCAGGCGGAAUUCGUGGUGUAGCGGUGAAAUGCUUAGAUAUCACGAAGAACCCCGAUUGCGAAGGCAGCCUGCCGCAGCGUUACUGACGCUGAAGCUCGAAAGCGCGGGUAUCGAACAGGAUUAGAAACCCUGGUAGUCCU